ACCCAAUAUGGAGCUCAAACUUAUGACCCCAAGACUAAGGGUUGCAUGCUAUAUCCACAGAGCCAGCCAGGCACCCCUACUCAUGCUUUUAAAAAUCACUUAUUCUGGGAAGACAAAUAACGUGUAUUUUUUUCUUUUCUGUAACUAUGUUUAAUUAUUUAAAAAAAAAUACUUAUUAAGCAUCUGCUGUGUGUGAGGAACCAGCCUAGGCUCUGGGGAUACAAUGGUGAGCAAAGCUUUUCAUGGAGCAUAGAAUUGCAUUACAUUUUAGAUUAGCGAUAUUUUCUUUUUUCUGGGUUCGAUGACUUAGGAGAAAAUGUCUUAUACUGGGCCAUCUGAAUAAUAAAACUCAUCACAGAUGUAGUCUUUUGAAAAAAGUUAGCUUUGGGAUUUUUUCCCCUGUCUUUUAUGCAUCUUAAGCAGGAAGAGAGGUAUAUGAAGUGUUCUUUUUCAGUUUCUCAGCAGCUUAGCAAAUGAAGUGUUUGCCCCAAUUAACUGCAAUACAGCAUCGUAAAAUUCCAAUGAAAUACUUCAUUUGUUUUUCAUCCUAGAUGCUUAUUUUUAUAUAUUGUGCAGCAAAUAUAAUGUAAUUCAAUAGGCAAAAUAGAUGGUUUUUAUUUUGUUUAAUAUUAGGUAAGGAAUAUAAAACAUGUACAGUAUAAAAAGAUAAAAUGUACAUCUUUUUAAAUUACCCAAUUAAUGUAGUUGAAUUAAUUUGUGUUUUCCUUUGUUUAUGCUUGUAAAAAAUUUUUCUGUACUGUCAUAAAGACAUGUUCAUAGAUUUUCUUCUUAAAAUUUUCAUAGUUUUUCUUUCAUAUUUAAGUUUUAAUCUGUUUGCAGUUUAUUUUUGUUGGUGUGAAAUAGGUGUUUGAUUUCAUUUUUUUCCCGUUUUAAUCAUCGCUUCUCUCAGAGCCCUCUAGUGAAGACGCCAUCCUCCUUGUCAGUUCACCAUUCAGAUUUUCUUAACAAAACAGUCCCAGGAGUUUGGUGCUGAUUCUAGGCUUUCUUCUAGUCUAUCGGUUGUCUUUCCAUACGCUAUUUUCACUUGUCUUAAUUACGUUACCUUUACAAUAGUAAGGGGAGUCUCCCACAUUUAUUAUUCAGGUGGGUCUUCGUUUCAUAACCCUUUGCUCCAUAAAAACUAAAAGCAGCUUGUCAGUUUAUACACCGAAUAGUGUAUUUUGAUAGAGAUUACAUUGAAUUAAUAAAGUUUUAGAGUUAUCCCUAACAAUCUCAAACACCUUUUGUAGGAUUACUCCAAGAUACUUUAUAUGUUUUGAAACUAUUGUAUUUCUUUCUUAAAAUUAUAUAAUUUCAGAUUUAUUUUGGGUGUAUAUUUUGUAUAUAGUAAUACUGCUAAAUUCUCUUAAUUCUGCUAAAUUCUCUUAGUCAUUCAGUCAUUUACCUAUAGAUUCUUCGGAAUUUUCCAUAUAAAGAAAUAAAUUAUCUGCCAAUAGUGUUGGUUUUGUUUCUACCUUUCCAGGUUUUGUAUUUUGAAAACUUUUUUCUUGCUUUAAAGUGCUGUCCAGGACCCCAAAAACCCAAUUGAAUAGAAAUGAUAGGGGGUUUACUUAUCUCAUUUCCAUUUCUAAAGAAGGUGCUUUUUUACCACAAAGUAUAUGACUUGGUAAAUGUUUUAAAUAGAUAACCCUUUACCGUUUUAACAUUAAGGAUAUUCCCUCUAAAAUGGGUGCUGGUUUGUAAUUCUCUGAGGAGGUUCCCAGGUAUAAUCUGCACAGGGAGCCAGUACUUAUGAGGAUUGUCUGGGGCAGCUGCAGGAUGAGUAGAUCUCUGUGCAGAAUCUUAGAAGUUUAUAUAGAGGCCUUAACAGUGUUCUGUCAUGUACUCAGGAGGCCUUAAGUGGGUUCAGUCAGGUACCCAGCCCAGAGGGCCUCAAUACCAAGUUUCUAUCUCAAAGAUGUAUUUUGGGGGCAACUUCUGGGAACAGAGAAGGCAAGUGAAACACAUUUCAGAAACAGGGGAGUGGUGGAGUCCUCCACUUGUCUGGGUCCAUCCAGCUCGAGGGUCAGCUGGAAGUCAAAUCUUUUUGAUGACCUCCUCCAGCAGUAUUGACUUACCACGUAUUUUUUCUGUAUUUAUUGAAACUGCCUGUAUUCUUACCCUUCUGUUAAUGUAGGAAAUUACAUGGAUUUUCUGUUAAGCCAGUUUUUUUGUUCUUGAAAUAAAUCCGGGUCGGUCAUAUUAUUACCAGCUUUUGUAUAAAUUGCUGUUUGGUUUGCUAAUGUUCUCUAGAAUACUUGCAUGUAUAUUCACAAGUAAUUCUUCUUUUUCACAGUUUCAUAUUUUGAUAUCUGAGUUGCUCUAGUCUUUUUUUUUUUUUUAAGAUUUUAAUAAUUUUAUUUGAGAGAGAAUGAACAAGAGAGCAUAAGAGCAGGGAGGGUCAGAGGGAGAAGCAGACUUCCUGCCAUGCAGGAAGCCCAAUGUGAGACUCGAUCCCAGGACCUUGGCUUCAUGAGUGGAGCUGAAGGCAGCUGCCCAACGACUGAGCCACCCAGGCACUCUGAGUUGGUCUAGUCUUAUAAAAUGUAUGCUCCCUCCAAUUUUUAGAUACUCUGAAAUAUACUGUGGAUUAGCAUUAUAUUUUCUUGAAUGUUUGGUAGAAUGGUGGCUAAAAUUGCCUGGGCUUCUGCUGGAGUUGGAGGGAAGAUUUUUAACUACUUAUCUGGCAUAUUUAAUGGUUAGAGAGUUACUCAAACUUUGUUUCUUUCUUUAAGAUUUAUUUAUUUUGAGAGAGAGCGAGCAGGCGAAAAAUUGGAGGAGGGGAGGACAGAGGGAGAGGGAGAUGGAAAAUCUCAACCAGACUCCCUGCUAAGCUUGGAGCCUAAUGCAGGACUCCGUCUCACAACCCUGAGAUAAUGACCUGACCAAAACCAAAAGCUGAACAUCAACCUAUUGAGCCUUCCCCUCAUUUGCGUUUUUAUCAUUUUUCUGUAAGUUACUUUUUACAGAGGUGUAAAAUAGUCUAGUCAAUAGCAUUAAAUCAGUGGUGCAUCUUCAACACUGCUCUUAGUACCUGGUAAUCUUUUUUUGCCUCUUACCAAGUUCUGACUAAUUCUUCUUGACACACCGUUCAAAGAAUAGCUGUUGGGUCACCUGGGUGGCUCAGUCAAGUUAAGCAGUGGCCUCUUGAUUUUGGCUCAGGUCAUGAUCUCAAGUCAUGAGAGCAACCCCCAAGUUGGGCUUCAUGCUCAGUUCAGAGUUUGCUUGUCCCUCUCUGUCCCCUUUUGCCCCUCACCUGCUUGCAUGUGCUCCUUCUCCCUCUAAAAUAAGUAAAUAAAAUCCUUAAAAAAUAAAAAAUUGUUUAAAAAAAUAAGGGAACAACUUUUAUUUUCUUUUACUGAUUUCCCUUCAUUAAUCUGCCUUUUACUGUAUUUGAGUGUCACUGUCUUUAGUUUUUAAAGUAAACUGUACACCCAGUGUGGGACUCACACUUAGAACCAUAAGAUCAAGAGUCACAUGCUCUGCUGACUUAGCCAGACAGGAGCCCCGUUACUAUUUUUUUUUGACUGUUAGGUAUAAUGCUUUUCACUCAUUAGCUCCCAGCCUUCCUGACUUUCUGUUGUAAGCAUCAAGGCUGUAAGUUUCCCUUUAGUACUGUAGAUUUUUUGCUUUUAACCCUACAUAUGGUCUAUUUUUAUAAGCUUCAAUUUACUUGAGUAGAAUGUGAGUCUUUUCAUUUGGAACCAACAUUCAAUAUAUUGUGGCUUGUUAAUUCUUUACUGAUUAUUUUGUGUGCUUGAUCUAUCAGUUAUUGACAGAGGUGCUUUAGAAUAUUAAUUAAUGUGAUUAAUUUGCCUAUUACUGAGUUUCCUCAAUUUCUGUUUUGUGUAUUUUUUUUUUUUUUAAGAUUUUAUUUAUUUGACAGACAGAGAGAUCACAAGUAGGCAGAGAGAGGAGGGGAAGUAGGCUUCCUGCAGAGAAGAGAGCCUGAUGCAGGGCUCAAUCCCAGGACCAUGGGAUCAUGACCUGAGCUGAGGGCAGAGGCUUUAACCCACUGAGCCACCCAGGUGCCACCUGUUUUGUGUAUCUUGAGGCAUGUUUGUUUGCAUAUAAGUUGCAUAUAAAUUUCGAGUUACUGAUUUAGGAUAAAAUAUCUUUUUAUGAUUAGGUAGUGAUCCUCUUUUUCUUUGUUGGUGAUUUUUACCUCUACAUUCUAAUGUUGGCUCCUGUUAUAAACAUUUUUUUAUUUUUCUAUUUUGACUACUUUAGUAAAUAUUUUUUAGAUACGUGAACAAUAUUUUCAUUACUAUUUCCCUAGCAUGUCUUCCAUCUUUUAUUUUCAGCCUUUUUGUAUCUUUAUGUUUUACAUUUCUCUUUAAACAUCAUACUUCUGGGGUCAUGAUCCCAGGGUCCUGGGAUCGACCCCCGCAUUUGGCUCUCUGCUCAGCAGGGAGCCUGCUUCCCUUCCUCUCUCUCUGCCUGCUUGUGAUCUCUGUCAAAUAAAUAAAUAAACAUCAUAUUUCUGGAUUUUGUUCUUAAUCUAGCAUGAGGAUCUUUGCCUUUCAACUGUCCUGCAUAAAAAUGGUUGAACUUCCUGAACCCAGAAAUUGAGAUUAUCCUUAAUCAGUUGAGAAAAAGUCUCAGCCAGUAUGCCUUCAAAACUUGUUUCUGGAGGCGCCUGGGUGGCUCAGUGGAUUAAAGCCUCUGCCUUCGACUCCGGUCAUGGUCUCAGGGUCCUGGGAUCGAGCCCCGCAUCAGCUCUCUGCUCGGCAGGGAGCAUGCUUCCCUCUCUCUCUCUCUCUGCCUACCUCUCUGCCUACUUGAGAUCUCUCUCUGUGUUAAAUAAAUAAAUAAAAUCUAAAAAAAAAAAAAAAAAAA
Mustela lutreola (European mink) is the source of this 4839-nucleotide long non-coding RNA. RefSeq lists it as uncharacterized. NCBI's taxonomy places the organism in Eukaryota, Metazoa, Chordata, Mammalia, Carnivora, Mustelidae. The transcript is spliced from 2 exons. The record is from RefSeq and is a predicted model, not a curated record.